GAUGAACGCUGGCGGCGUGCCUAAUACAUGCAAGUCGAGCGAACAGACGAGGAGCUUACUCCUCUGACGUUAGCGGCGGACGGGUGAGUAACACGUGGAUAACCUACCUAUAAGACUGGGAUAACUUCGGGAAACCGGAGCUAAUACCGGAUAACAUGUUGAACCGCAUGGUUCAACAGUGAAAGACGGUCUUGCUGUCACUUAUAGAUGGAUCCGCGUCGCAUUAGCUAGUUGGUAAGGUAACGGCUUACCAAGGCAACGAUGCGUAGCCGACCUGAGAGGGUGAUCGGCCACACUGGAACUGAGACACGGUCCAGACUCCUACGGGAGGCAGCAGUAGGGAAUCUUCCGCAAUGGGCGAAAGCCUGACGGAGCAACGCCGCGUGAGUGAAGAAGGUCUUCGGAUCGUAAAACUCUGUUAUUAGGGAAGAACAAAUGUGUAAGUAACUAUGCACGUCUUGACGGUACCUAAUCAGAAAGCCACGGCUAACUACGUGCCAGCAGCCGCGGUAAUACGUAGGUGGCAAGCGUUAUCCGGAAUUAUUGGGCGUAAAGCGCGCGUAGGCGGUUUUUUAAGUCUGAUGUGAAAGCCCACGGCUCAACCGUGGAGGGUCAUUGGAAACUGGAAAACUUGAGUGCAGAAGAGGAAAGUGGAAUUCCAUGUGUAGCGGUGAAAUGCGCAGAGAUAUGGAGGAACACCAGUGGCGAAGGCGACUUUCUGGUCUGUAACUAACGCUGAUGUGCGAAAGCGUGGGGAUCAAACAGGAUUAGAUACCCUGGUAGUCCACGCCGUAAACGAUGAGUGCUAAGUGUUAGGGGGUUUCCGCCCCUUAGUGCUGCAGCUAACGCAUUAAGCACUCCGCCUGGGGAGUACGACCGCAAGGUUGAAACUCAAAGGAAUUGACGGGGACCCGCACAAGCGGUGGAGCAUGUGGUUUAAUUCGAAGCAACGCGAAGAACCUUACCAAAUCUUGACAUCCUCUGACCCCUCUAGAGAUAGAGUUUUCCCCUUCGGGGGACAGAGUGACAGGUGGUGCAUGGUUGUCGUCAGCUCGUGUCGUGAGAUGUUGGGUUAAGUCCCGCAACGAGCGCAACCCUUAAGCUUAGUUGCCAUCAUUAAGUUGGGCACUCUAAGUUGACUGCCGGUGACAAACCGGAGGAAGGUGGGGAUGACGUCAAAUCAUCAUGCCCCUUAUGAUUUGGGCUACACACGUGCUACAAUGGACAAUACAAAGGGUAGCGAAACCGCGAGGUCAAGCAAAUCCCAUAAAGUUGUUCUCAGUUCGGAUUGUAGUCUGCAACUCGACUACAUAAAGCUGGAAUCGCUAGUAAUCGUAGAUCAGCAUGCUACGGUGAAUACGUUCCCGGGUCU
This 1372-nucleotide ribosomal RNA is filed under the name uncultured bacterium. RNAcentral describes it as "bacterial SSU rRNA". It matches the Rfam family "Bacterial small subunit ribosomal RNA", at positions 28 to 1381 of the family's 1533-position model. The record is from RNAcentral.